UGGACAGAUUAUUGUAUUCGACUGUAUUUACGACAUGAAACAAGGGAUUACACUGUUUUUAAACGGAAAAUGUAUCAAUUAACAUAAUAGACUCCU
Molecule: microRNA precursor, 96 nt
Filed under: Nicotiana sylvestris (wood tobacco)
Lineage: Eukaryota; Viridiplantae; Streptophyta; Magnoliopsida; Solanales; Solanaceae
Also listed under: 1 other name
Description: MIR6152 microRNA precursor family
Rfam family: MIR6152 microRNA precursor family
Source: Rfam by way of RNAcentral